Molecule: ribosomal RNA, 261 nt
Filed under: uncultured Nitrospira sp.
Lineage: Bacteria; Pseudomonadati; Nitrospirota; Nitrospiria; Nitrospirales; Nitrospiraceae
Description: partial 16S ribosomal RNA
Rfam family: Bacterial small subunit ribosomal RNA
Source: RNAcentral
AAUAUUGCGCAAUGGGCGAAAGCCUGACGCAGCGACGCCGCGUGGGGGAUGAAGGUCUUCGGAUUGUAAACCCCUUUCGGGAGGGAAGAUGGAGCGAGCAAUCGUUCGGACGGUACCUCCAGAAGCAGCCACGGCCAACUUCGUGCCAGCAGCCGCGGUAAUACGAAGGUGGCAAGCGUUGUUCGGAUUCACUGGGCGUACAGGGUGUGUAGGCGGUUCGGUAAGCCUUCUGUUAAAGCUUCGGGCCCAACCCGGAAAGCG